AACGAACGCUGGCGGCAUGCCUAACACAUGCAAGUCGAACGCGUGUAGCAAUACACGAGUGGCGGACGGGUGAGUAACGCGUGGGAACCUGCCCAAUGGUAGGGAAUAACUGCGGGAAACUGCAGCUAAUACCCUAUGCUCCCUACGGGGAAGAUUUAUCGCCAUUGGAGGGGCCCGCGUCGGAUUAGCUAGUUGGCGGGGUAACGGCCCACCAAGGCUACGAUCCGUAGCUGGUCNGAGAGGAUGAUCAGCCACACUGGGACUGAGAUACGGCCCAGACUCCUACGGGAGGCAGCAGUGGGGAAUAUUGGACAAUGGGGGAAACCCUGAUCCAGCAAUGCCGCGUGAGUGAAGAAGGCCUUAGGGUUGUAAAGCUCUUUCGGCGGGGACGAUGGUGACGGUACCCGCAGAAGAAGCCCCGGCUAACUUCGUGCCAGUAGCCGCCGUAAU
RNAcentral lists this ribosomal RNA (450 nucleotides) under uncultured bacterium. RNAcentral's name for it is "bacterial SSU rRNA". It matches the Rfam family "Bacterial small subunit ribosomal RNA", at positions 29 to 524 of the family's 1533-position model. The record is from RNAcentral.